GUAGGUGGCAAGCGUUGUCCGGAAUUAUUGGGGCGUAAAGCGCGCGCAGGCGGUUCUUUAAGUCUGAUGUGAAAGCCCACGGGCUCAACCGUGGAGGGUCACUGGAAACUGGAGAACUUGAGUACAGAAGAGGAAAGCGGAAUUCCACGUGUAGCGGUGAAAUGCGUAGAGAUGUGGAGGAACACCAGUGGCGAAGGCGGCUUUCUGGUCUGUAACUGACGCUGAGGCGCGAAAGCGUGGGGAGCAAACAGGAUUAGAUACCCUGGUAGUCCACGCCGUAAACGAUGAGUGCUAAGUGUUAGGGGGUUUCCGCCCCUUAGUGCUGCAGCUAACGCAUUAAGCACUCCGCCUGGGGAGUACGGCCGCAAAGGCUG
RNAcentral lists this ribosomal RNA (374 nucleotides) under uncultured organism. Its description in RNAcentral is "partial 16S ribosomal RNA". It matches the Rfam family "Bacterial small subunit ribosomal RNA", at positions 527 to 896 of the family's 1533-position model. The record is from RNAcentral.